This 520-nucleotide unclassified non-coding RNA is filed under the name uncultured Glomus. RNAcentral's name for it is "SSU rRNA". It matches the Rfam family "Eukaryotic small subunit ribosomal RNA", at positions 569 to 1091 of the family's 1831-position model. Lineage: Eukaryota; Fungi; Glomeromycota; Glomeromycetes; Glomerales; Glomeraceae. The record is from RNAcentral.
AGCAGCCGCGGUAAUUCCAGCUCCAAUAGCGUAUAUUAAAGUUGUUGCAGUUAAAAAGCUCGUAGUUGAAUUUCGGGAUCAAUUAAUUGGUCGUGCCUCUGGUACGUACUGGUUUUAUUGGUUUCUCCCUUCUGACGAACCAUGAUGUCAUUAAUUUGGUGUCGUGGAGAAUCAGGACUGUUACUUUGAAAAAAUUAGAGUGUUUAAAGCAAGCUAACGCUUGAAUACAUUAGCAUGGAAUAAUGAAAUAGGACGUUUGAUCCUAUUUUGUUGGUUUCUAGGAUCGACGUAAUGAUUAAUAGGGAUAGUUGGGGGCAUUAGUAUUCAAUUGUCAGAGGUGAAAUUCUUGGAUUUAUUGAAGACUAACUACUGCGAAAGCAUUUGCCAAGGAUGUUUUCAUUAAUCAAGAACGAAAGUUAGGGGAUCGAAGACGAUCAGAUACCGUCGUAGUCUUAACCAUAAACUAUGCCGACUAGGGAUCGGAUGAUGUUAAUUUUUAAUGACUCAUUCGGCACCUUAA